GAAAACUUUCUGUGUGCAUAUGCAUGUGUGUUUAUAUACAUAUAUGCACACACACAUAAGUGCACAUGCAUCAGAAUAUAC
Molecule: microRNA precursor, 81 nt
Filed under: Mesocricetus auratus (golden hamster)
Lineage: Eukaryota; Metazoa; Chordata; Mammalia; Rodentia; Cricetidae
Description: miRNA (ENSMAUG00000001524.1)
Source: RNAcentral